Molecule: long non-coding RNA, 2306 nt
Organism: Centrocercus urophasianus (Greater sage-grouse)
Lineage: Eukaryota; Metazoa; Chordata; Aves; Galliformes; Phasianidae
Exons: 3
Source: RefSeq, a predicted model, not a curated record
AGCUUCAUUGCACAGUUGAUUCAUCGUUAUCUGGUGAUCACCUAUGAUACCCAGCAUUCUGUCUGCCUGAGUCAUCUCUCUUCUCACUUAGAGAAGAAAUGUCUCAUUAACCCUGAAGUGCAUGCCCUCAGUUGUCUUCUAAUCAAACACUAUUUCCCAUUUAUGUACCUGUCCAAGUCAAAAAGGUUUUAAUAUACAAUUGUUGUCUUCUGUAUUAGCUGUGUUCCUUCAUUUUCAGAUUUCAAUAGCACACCUAUCAUAUUCAUAUUCCACUGCAGGUAAUGAAAAUAUUACCAGCACUGGUCCCAAAAGAGACCCUUGAGUAACUUUUGCGGUUACUUGCUUCUUGGCUCUUGAUUCUUCUUCCCUUUUCUCUGCUCUUUUCUAUCAGUCAAUUCCUUCCUGCCUUUCAUGUCCUCUGUAAUCUCCAAAUUCUUUUGCUUCAUUAAUAUUUGGCCAUUUAGGAGUGUAUCAAGUGCUUUACUAAGGUCCAAAUGAGAUUUACCACAUUUUCAAUUUUGGAAAAUCCAUUAUCUCAUUAAGGGAAAGCUAUCAGAUUAUUCUAGCACUGUGCUCCCCUGGUAAACAUGGGCUCCUUUCAUCUUGUUUUCAGUUCAACUAACAAGAAUAAUGCAAUCAUUCUUUCUCCUUUAGUAAUUACACUAUAUGUAGAAAUACAGGGAAAUAAAAACUGAAAUCCCAUUUUCUUCCAUGUGGGGCAUGUUUAAAUGUGAUAUGUCUGAUAUAUUUUUACAUUUGCAGGCAGUAUCUAUACACAUACUUAAGUGUGCAUGUUCAACAAUUUCCAAGCUGCAAUGAGCUUUCUAGUAUGAAUAAGUAUUUUAACUUUUCCACACAAUAACAGAUCUUUUUUUUUUUUUUUUUUUUUUGCUUAUUAAUUUUAAGACCUUGAGAUAUUUUCAUCCUGCUCUACUGCAGUCCUUCCUGAAGCCCGCUAACAGCUGAAAAGACAACCCUGGUGUGCAGGAUGAUUUUAUCCAGCACUCAGAUUGUUUCCUGCUGUCAGAUAUCAUUAGAAAGUUUAAGUGCAGUCUAGAUGUUGGAUAAUUGCUAUGAUGAAGUUUGGCCAUCAGUGUAAAAAGCAGGUUGUUAUAGUGAAUGGAAAAUGUCCAUUCUCCGCCUGUUUUAACAGAGCCUGGUCCUUAGCAAAAGAAACAUCAUCAAACAACAAGGGGUUCAUUAAUGCAUGUCUUCCUGUUUACUCUUUCUUCUCUGAUGCAGUAGUGCACACUGUUGUAAAACACAGCUUUUCUGUGAAAGAGGGUGAUAGGGACUGAGACAGCCCAACAAUUUCCCUGCCAACCCAAAGGGACAGGUUUCAUAAUUUUUCUCCUGCUCCAUUUACAUCCCUACACUGCUCUCAACUGGAUGAUCCCUGGCUUCGUUCUGGCCCUGGCAGUCAUUGAGCCCUUUGCCAAGCCAGUUCACCUCCCUUAUGGGACAGGCAACUGUUUGCUUUCCAUGCUGUCCGACUCUGUGACCAGACUCCAAAAAUUAUGCUCCUACACGUAAAUAAGAGAGGCUAUCAGUCCCAGAUGCAUCUGGGUCACGGACAACUUACUGACAGUAUAUCACCACUAGCAGUCCACUGGUUCACCAGGACAUUUUAGAACUUUAACAAUCUUUAAAACAUCCUGUUUUUUUUCAGAUUAAAGGUAAGAAACAUCAAGCUCUGAAUGCUGCAUAAGUGUAGUUUUGCUCUUCACUAUAUCUAACUAGCUUUGAACAACAACAAAAUUGUGCCAGUGAAUUAGAAGGUGGCCAAGGUGGAUAAACAGCAUGGAUUACUUUGCUUGAAAAUUGGAUUGUUGAUGAAGGAAAGAAAACAACAGCCAAAAGUGUAUUGAUUUUGCAAACAUCACUUACAGGUACACAUUUAACUUGUGAACUUUGGUCUGAAUAGGUAAGAAGCUCUUGACUAUCAGAGAUACUGAUCUGAAUAAGCAGGAUGUACAUUUUGGGUUCAACACAUCCCCUUGCAGACACCCACCUCAACACAAUCGUGCAUCUUGUUUAGUUUCAUCUGAUACUGUCUACCUUCCUCUCUAUCAGAAUCCACAUGCAGCAGAAUGAGCUUCAGUAAAAUCAAUGGGAAAGUGACACAAAUGAAAAGGCCAGUGUAUUCUUUGAAAUCAUGGAAUGGCUUGGGUUGGAAAGGAUCAUAAAGAUCCUCUACUAACAUCCAACCCCUAGCUAAUCAGAAUUGUAUGGGAAGUGCUGAGUCACAGCCUGAACCACUGAUUGAUCACCUGAGGCAAGCACGGAGUCAGCCAUGGAGCACAAGU